AUUCUUCUCUUUUCCUUCCCCAUAGCCGAAUUUAAUAAAGAUUGGUGAUUUGGCUCAAGAUUUCCAAGAUAAGUAAUCAAUUCUAGAGUUUUACUCAGCAUCGCGAGGCUGGCUACAACCUAGGUAAUGGCAUCUCUAGACUUCCACUCAGAGUAGCUCCGCUGCCUAGAGGUCGGUUUGUGUCAAAUAGUCAAGCUUGUAAUGAUUAAUAGUUACUGAAAAUGUACUAGUUAGAACUUAAUGUUAUGUAAUGACUACUUCAUAUUAUGUUGAAAUCGUAUGGAAGUAUCAAAUCUGGUUGUUUGUAUUUAGAAGCCACGUCUAAAUGUUGUGAAUAUUUGGUUUACAUGAACUAUGAUGUUAAAAAUUGUAAGUUGAGUUUAAAUUGUGUGAAGGCUUAA
Theobroma umbraticum is the source of this 401-nucleotide long non-coding RNA. RefSeq lists it as uncharacterized. The record is from RefSeq and is a predicted model, not a curated record. NCBI's taxonomy places the organism in Eukaryota, Viridiplantae, Streptophyta, Magnoliopsida, Malvales, Malvaceae.